Non-coding RNA from Streptomyces mobaraensis, 75 nucleotides. The record is from Rfam. NCBI's taxonomy places the organism in Bacteria, Bacillati, Actinomycetota, Actinomycetes, Kitasatosporales, Streptomycetaceae.
CUUGACGGAGCCGAGCCAGAGGGGCUGGUCGGCGGGGCGGUUGCGGCCGUAGGUGGCGAGGAGGGCCUGGGCCUC